Cinara cedri is the source of this 321-nucleotide non-coding RNA. NCBI's taxonomy places the organism in Eukaryota, Metazoa, Arthropoda, Insecta, Hemiptera, Aphididae. The record is from the annotation of a GenBank genome assembly.
AGUAUGAUUUCUAGUAGAUUUCUUGUACACAGUACAAACAAAGAAAAAAAAAAGCAUCAAAGUAAAACCAAUACAUCCGUCAUUUAACUCAAAUUUUUUUUUUUGAUUUUGAAUGGAAUUAACUUCUUAUACAAUAAAAAUUAUGAAAUACAUACAGUUUUAAUCAUGUUUGUUAUAAUCAAAUGCGUACUAUACCACAGUACUACAAUUUAGCCAACAUUGUAGUUUAGAAAAAUACUAUCCUGAAUCGUGGUAUCUGUACAUAGAGCCAGUAUAUUGUAUCAAAUUGAUUAGUUGCAUAGAUAAAUAAGCAAAAUAUAA